Molecule: ribosomal RNA, 253 nt
Filed under: uncultured bacterium
Lineage: Bacteria
Description: partial 16S ribosomal RNA
Rfam family: Bacterial small subunit ribosomal RNA
Source: RNAcentral
UACGUAGGGUGCAAGCGUUGUCCGGAAUUAUUGGGCGUAAAGAGCUCGUAGGCGGUUUGUCGCGUCUGCCGUGAAAGUCCGGGGCUCAACUCCGGAUCUGCGGUGGGUACGGGCAGACUAGAGUGAUGUAGGGGAGACUGGAAUACUUGGUGUAGCAGUGAAAUGCGUAGAUAUCAAGUGGAACACCAGUGGCGAAGGCGAGUCUCUGGACAUUUCCUGACGCUGAGGCACGAAAGCCAGGGGAGCAAACGGG